UUGGAGGGCAAGUCUGGUGCCAGCAGCCGCGGUAAUUCCAGCUCCAAUAGCGUAUAUUAAAGUUGUUGCAGUUAAAAAGCUCGUAGUUGAAUUUCGGGGUCAGUAGGUUGGUCAUACCACUGGUAUGUACUGGUCUCACUGAUUCCUCCUUCCUGAUGAACUGUAAUGCCAUUAAUUUGGUGUUGCAGGGAAUCUGGACUGUUACUUUGAAAAAAUUGGAGUGUUUAAAGCAGGCUAACGCCUGAAUACAUUAGCAUGGAAUAAUGAAAUAGGACGUUCGAUCCUAUUUUGUUGGUUUCUAGGAUUGACGUAAUGAUUAAUAGGGAUAGUUGGGGGCAUUAGUAUUCAAUUGUCAGAGGUGAAAUUCUUGGAUUUAUUGAAGACUAACUUCUGCGAAAGCAUUUGCCAAGGAUGUUUUCAUUAAUCAAGAACGAAAGUUAGGGGAUCGAAGACGAUCAGAUACCGUCGUAGUCUUAACCAUAAACUAUGCCGACUAGGGAUCGGACGAUGUUAAUUUUUUAAUGACUCGUUCGGCGCCUUACGUU
Molecule: ribosomal RNA, 545 nt
Filed under: uncultured Rhizophagus
Lineage: Eukaryota; Fungi; Glomeromycota; Glomeromycetes; Glomerales; Glomeraceae
Description: SSU rRNA
Rfam family: Eukaryotic small subunit ribosomal RNA
Source: RNAcentral